Molecule: ribosomal RNA, 496 nt
Filed under: uncultured bacterium
Lineage: Bacteria
Description: partial 16S ribosomal RNA
Rfam family: Bacterial small subunit ribosomal RNA
Source: RNAcentral
AUUGAACGCUGGCGGAAUGCUUUACACAUGCAAGUCGAACGGUAGAGGGGGCAACCCCUCGAGAGUGGCGAACGGGUGAGUAAUAUAUCGGAACGUGCCCAGUCGUGGGGGAUAACGUAGCGAAAGUUACGCUAAUACCGCAUACGAUUCAAGGAUGAAAGCGGGGGAUCGCAAGACCUCGCGCGAUUGGAGCGGCCGCUAUCGGAUUAGGUAGUGGGUGGGGUAAAGGCUCACCAAGCACACGGUCUGUAGCUGGUCUGAGAGGACGACCAGCCACACUGGAACUGAGACACGGUCCAGACUCCUACGGGAGGCAGCAGUGGGGAAUUUUGGACAAUGGACGCAAGUCUGAUCCAGCCAUUCCGCGUGCAGGAUGAAGGCCAUCGGGUUGUAAACUGCUUUUGUACGGAACGAAAAGGUCUCUCUUAAUACGGGGGGCUCAUGACGGUACCGUAAGAAUAAGCACCGGCUAACUACGUGCCAGCCGCCGCGGUAA